GGGCCUGUAGCUCAGGUGGUUAGAGCGCACGCCUGAUAAGCGUGAGGUCCGAGGUUCAACUCCUCGCAGGCCCA
Gemmatimonas phototrophica is the source of this 74-nucleotide transfer RNA. It matches the Rfam family "tRNA". From Rfam's summary of the family: Transfer RNA (tRNA) molecules are approximately 80 nucleotides in length. Their secondary structure includes four short double-helical elements and three loops (D, anti-codon, and T loops). Further hydrogen bonds mediate the characteristic L-shaped molecular structure. tRNAs have two regions of fundamental functional importance: the anti-codon, which is responsible for specific mRNA codon recognition, and the 3' end, to which the tRNAs corresponding amino acid is attached (by aminoacyl-tRNA synthetases). tRNAs cope with the degeneracy of the genetic code in two manners: having more than one tRNA (with a specific anti-codon) for a particular amino acid; and 'wobble' base-pairing, i.e. permitting non-standard base-pairing at the 3rd anti-codon position. NCBI's taxonomy places the organism in Bacteria, Pseudomonadati, Gemmatimonadota, Gemmatimonadia, Gemmatimonadales, Gemmatimonadaceae. The record is from Rfam.